AGGGGCGUAGUUCAAUGGUAGAACAGCGGUCUCCAAAACCGCAGGUGCGGGUUCGAUUCCUGCCGCCCCUG
Molecule: transfer RNA, 71 nt
Filed under: Brockia lithotrophica
Lineage: Bacteria; Bacillati; Bacillota; Bacilli; Thermicanales; Thermicanaceae
Rfam family: tRNA
About the family: Transfer RNA (tRNA) molecules are approximately 80 nucleotides in length. Their secondary structure includes four short double-helical elements and three loops (D, anti-codon, and T loops). Further hydrogen bonds mediate the characteristic L-shaped molecular structure. tRNAs have two regions of fundamental functional importance: the anti-codon, which is responsible for specific mRNA codon recognition, and the 3' end, to which the tRNAs corresponding amino acid is attached (by aminoacyl-tRNA synthetases). tRNAs cope with the degeneracy of the genetic code in two manners: having more than one tRNA (with a specific anti-codon) for a particular amino acid; and 'wobble' base-pairing, i.e. permitting non-standard base-pairing at the 3rd anti-codon position.
Source: Rfam by way of RNAcentral